This 253-nucleotide ribosomal RNA is filed under the name uncultured bacterium. Its description in RNAcentral is "partial 16S ribosomal RNA". It matches the Rfam family "Bacterial small subunit ribosomal RNA", at positions 524 to 776 of the family's 1533-position model. The record is from RNAcentral.
UACGUAGGUGGCGAGCGUUGUCCGGAUUUACUGGGCGUAAAGGGCGUGCAGGCGGUUUGUUAAGUGCAGGGUGAAAGCUCCCGGCUCAACUGGGAGAGGUCCUUGCAUACCGGCGAACUCGAGGGAGGCAGAGGAAAGUGGAAUUCCCGGUGUAGUGGUGAUAUGCGUAGAUAUCGGGAGGAACACCUGUGGCGAAGGCGGCUUUCUGGGCCUUACCUGACGCUGAGACGCGAAAGCGUGGGGAGCGAACCGG